AACACAUUCAUGUGCCUCAGCAUGGGGGCAGCUGCACUGUUGCCUGCCAGCCUGUCCUCUUUGACUGCCGAAUGAACCAAAGGAUAACUCUCCAUUCGUGAGAGAGAGUGAGCUACAGAGGAAGAAAGACCACGCAAAAGGGAGGGGGAGAGAGGGGGGCGAAGAGGAUGUUCUCCGGCUCACUCCUACAUUAGGUCUCUGUGCAAAGGCAGAGGCUGUGGGAGCAGCAUCAAGCAAGACUUCGGGCAGUGAUUCUAACUAUUGCCUAUGAACACCGUGGCUGGGACGACUUUGACGAGGCAAUUUAUUACUUACGCAUAGAACACUGGCUGUGCUGAAACUGGGAGCGCAAACAGCCCCUUGUUUUCUAAUUUAGAGACUUGCAUCUUUUCGACACUCAACAGUAUCAAGACACUCUGCUACUACAGAAUCUUCUGGAGAGGAAAGAAGAAACCAUGUCUAGACAAGGUGCUGGAAAGACCCAGGGAAGACACAGGCUUUGGUAUCAGGAUGAUGCUGGCCUCACAAAAUGAGUUAGGGAGGAUUCCCUCUUUUUCUAUUGAUUGGAAUAGUUUCAGAAGGAAUGGUACCAGCUCCUCCUUGUACCUCUGGUAGAAUUCGGCUGUGAAUCCAUCUGGUCCUGGACUUUUUUUGGUUGGUAAGCUAUUAAUUAUUGCCUCAAUUUCGGAGCCUGUUAUUGGUCUAUUCAGAGAUUCAACUUCUUCCUGGUUUGGCCUUGGGAGGGUGUAUGUGUCGAGGAAUUUAUCCAUUUCUUCUAGAUUUUCUAGUUUAUUUGCGUAGAGGUGUUUAUAG
Molecule: long non-coding RNA, 813 nt
Filed under: Homo sapiens (human)
Lineage: Eukaryota; Metazoa; Chordata; Mammalia; Primates; Hominidae
Description: non-protein coding lnc-MAT2B-3:25
Source: RNAcentral